RNAcentral lists this transfer-messenger RNA (307 nucleotides) under Bartonella rochalimae. Its description in RNAcentral is "partial ssrA". It matches the Rfam family "Alphaproteobacteria transfer-messenger RNA", at positions 49 to 348 of the family's 355-position model. From Rfam's summary of the family: Bacterial tmRNA, also known as 10Sa RNA or SsrA, is named for its dual tRNA and mRNA-like properties. Its role is to liberate the mRNA from a stalled ribosome. The record is from RNAcentral. Lineage: Bacteria; Pseudomonadati; Pseudomonadota; Alphaproteobacteria; Hyphomicrobiales; Bartonellaceae.
CUUGCUAUGGUAGAAAAUGGACAAUGAAAUAAACCAAUUGGACCCGGGGGGCGGUACCCGGCGCCUCCACCAAAAUAUAAAAAAUAAAGAUUAUAUUUUUAUGGGGGCGAAACAGGAUCGACAAGGGUGUAAAGGUUGCUCUUUUACUCGGCAUUGUACCACCGUUAUCGGACUAAAUGAGUAGUUGCAAAUGACAACUAUGCGGAAGCCCGUCUCAUCGCUGCUUAAGCGAUGCGAAAGCUUCAAACUAAGUCUUAAACCGUCGCAGGUCUAAGCGGGGUUCGAAGGCACCUGCAAACAGAAGCAA